UCUGGUUUCCACGGAGACGGUGCAUUUCCGACCAUGCAUGCUGCACUGGACCGGAUUGGCGACGCUGACUUGCAGGCGGCGUUUCUCACUGCAGGCCCCCCACAAGGUCUGAGGGACAGUGGACCGGUCCCCUGCUGAAAAAGUUUGCUGACUCCUGCAGAGUGACACGAAGACUGCAAUUGUUUUAGCAAACAGCUUUCUAAUACAGCUGUUCCAACGGAAUCAGUUCCAGAGACUACUUUGCUGUAUUUAAAAAAAUCAUUCCUGAUGGAGAAAAGAAAUGAAAAGGGACAAGACUAACAAACAAGAAAGACAGUGCCCAACACUGAUCGCUGUCACGUCAGGGUGCCAUCGGGACAGGAGGCCAAGUCUUCCAGGUAUUUAAUACUUCUUGACUUAACGCCACAGUGAGUUGCAUUGAAAAUCCCUGAUUAAUUUGCUAUUUUUGCAGUGCCUUAGCAGACCCAGAUGAACACAUGGUAAAGCCACAGCAGAUCACAGGUGGAUGCAUUUACAACGUGAAUCACCGGUGUGUGGGUGUGUAAGAGAGAACAAUACUCCAUACCAGGUUUCCUCAAACUCGGCCCUCCAGAUGUUUUUGGCCUACAACUCCCAUGAUCCCUAGCUAGCAGGACCAGUGGCCAGGGAUGAUGGGAAUUGUAGUCUCAAAACAUCUGGAGGGCCAAGUUUGAGAAAGCCUGCUCUAUACUCUCAAGUUCAUUUGGUUGAGCAAGAAUGUAGCUGUUGGAUAUUGCUUUUACAAAGGGCACUGGCAACAAAUUCUGCUUCUUGCUGUAUCACCAGAUGUUCCAUAAUCAA
This is a non-coding RNA of Podarcis muralis (Common wall lizard), 819 nucleotides long. NCBI's taxonomy places the organism in Eukaryota, Metazoa, Chordata, Lepidosauria, Squamata, Lacertidae. The record is from RefSeq and is a predicted model, not a curated record.